GACGAACGCUGGCGGCGUGCUUAACACAUGCAAGUCGAACGCUGAAGCUUGGUGCUUGCACUGUGUGGGUGAGUGGCGAACGGGUGAGUAAUACGUGAGUAACCUGCCUUUGACUCUGGGAUAAUCCUGGGAAACUGGCUCCAAUACUAGAUACGACCUUUCACCGCAUGGUGGUGUGUGGAAAGGGGUUUACUGGUUUUGGAUGGGCUCACGGCCUAUCAGCUUGUUGGUGGGGUAAUGGCUCACCAAGGCGACGACGGGUAGCCGGCCUGAGAGGGUGACCGGCCACACUGGGACUGAGACACGGCCCAGACUCCUACGGGAGGCAGCAGUGGGGAAUAUUGCACAAUGGGCGGAAGCCUGAUGCAGCGACGCCGCGUGAGGGAUGACGGCCUUCGGGUUGUAAACCUCUUUCAGCACGGAAGAAGCGAAAGUGACGGUACGUGCAGAAGAAGCGCCGGCUAACUACGUG
This 472-nucleotide ribosomal RNA is filed under the name uncultured bacterium. RNAcentral's name for it is "partial 16S ribosomal RNA". It matches the Rfam family "Bacterial small subunit ribosomal RNA", at positions 28 to 507 of the family's 1533-position model. The record is from RNAcentral.